CUUUGACCUGUUCCCCUCUCCUGCGCAGGCCGCGAGCCACAGCGCCGGGCAGCUCUUGGCGUGGCUGGACGCGCGCCCCCUGGCGGCGCGGGCGGCGGUGCUACGCAGAGCAGGGCGCUACAUUGCGCCUGCGCCCCAAGGAGGGAACGUGACAGGGGCAGGGCCUCCCGUGGGACGAGUUAGGAGAGGAGCUGGUUUCAGAAGGGUAGGCCCGUGGAAUCAGCGGCUACUGCCCUGCGUUGGGUGGUGCCAAGAGGGUCUUGAUCUGUCACUCAGGCUGCAGUGAAGUGACACCAUCUCGGCUCACUGCAACCUCUACCUCCCGAGUUCAAGGAAUUCUUGCGCCUCAGCCUCCUCAGUAGCUGGCAUUACAGAUGGGGUCUCACUCUGUCACCCAGGUUGGAAUGCAGUGGCAUGAUCUCAGCUCACUGCAAACUCUACCUCCCAGGCUCAAGUGAUCUCCCACCUCAGACUCUCCAGUAGCUGGGACCACAGGCACCCACCACCAUGCCCAGCUAAUUUUGUAUUUUUAGUAGAGGUGGAGUUUCCCCAUGUUGCCCAGGCUGCUCUUGAACUCCCAAGCUUGGGCGAUCCACCCACCUGUGCCUCCAAGUGCUAGGAUUACAGAUGAGACCCACCGCUCCUGGCCUCACAGAAUCCUUUCAAAGACCAAAUGUAUACUUAAAUUGGCAAGAGGACUUGCCAUAUAAGUGUUUGCUGUUUUUACUUUUGGUCAUUACCAGUGUGUUAAAUGAAGAACAACAUUUCAUUAUUCGUUUGUUUGCACUGCUUUGAUUAUUAGUGAGGUUGAGAAUCUUUACAUGUGCUCAGUUGAGAUUUGUAUUCCUCCCUCCCCCGCUGAGUCUUGCUCCAUCGCCCAGGCUGCUGGAGGGCAGUGAUUCCAUCUCCACUCACUACAACCUCCGCCUCCCAAAUUCAAGCAAUUCUUCUGCUUCAGCCUCCCGAGUAGCUGGGAUUACAGGCGUGUGCCACCAUGCCUGGCUAAUUUUUGUAUUUUUAGUAGAGACGGGUUUUCACCAUGUUGACCAGGCUGAUCUCAAAUUCCUGACCUCAGGUGAUCCGCCUGCCUCGGCCUCCCGAAGUACUAGAAUUACAGGCAUGAGCCACCACACCCAGCCAGAAGUCUUUUUUUUUUCAGACAGAGUUUCGCUCUUGUUGCCCAGGCUGGAGUGCAGUAGUGCAAUCUCAGCUCACUGCAGCCUCUGCCUCCUGGGUUCAAGCAAUUCUCCUAUUUCAGCCUCCCUAGAAGUCCUCUUUUUUUUUUUUAAAGAGACAGAGUUGGUCAGGCAUGACCUUGUCUAUUUUUUUCUUUUUUUGAGAUGGAGUCUCAAUCUGUCACCCAGGCUGGAGUGCAAUGGCACAAUCUUGGCUCACUGCAACUUCUGCCUCCUGGGUUCAAGCAAUUCUCCUGCCUCAGCCUCCUGAGUAGCUGGGAUUACAGGCUUGCACAACCAUGCUGGGCUAAUCUUUUAUAUUUUUAGUAG
Non-coding RNA from Callithrix jacchus (white-tufted-ear marmoset), 1505 nucleotides. Lineage: Eukaryota; Metazoa; Chordata; Mammalia; Primates; Cebidae. The record is from RefSeq and is a predicted model, not a curated record.